AUGCGCAGUCAAAUGGUGGGGGUGAAAGUUUUCGUUGACAUUUCCAGCAGUAUUCCUUCACAGUUCUCGGGUAAUUAACGAUUUAUGACGAUUUAUUGGAACCUAUAAAUUGUGUAUAAUUUGGACGGGGAGAAUACGUGAAAAACAGUAACUAGAAAGAAAAACAGGAGGAGGAAAGAUAUUUAUGGUUGCAGGGAAGAGAAGCGAACUGAUGGAAAAAACAGAACUGUCCGUUCACGACACAUAUUUUGCAUAUAAGGGUUUUAAUACCGGAACCAAAAAAUAUGUAUCUGCAUGCAAGGGCCCUCGAUAUAAAGGUCCUCUAAUAUUCGUCCCUGAACAUCGUCUCAUCGACUUCGCAGCACCGAUCACAUGGAACGUUCUGUUUACAUUCUGUGCCAGUCAACUCGUUUGAACGUAGUACAGUUCUAGAAGAGUCUUUUGGCGUGUGUAACAGCAUCAAGGGUCCGUUUAUGGUUGGACCUACGAUGAAAGUCACGGGAGCAUUGGAUCUGAUCUAAUAUCCUUACAACAUUGGCAUCACCUCUCUUUGGUUUGUUUAUGAUGGAGCUGCGGCAAUAGUCCAAGUUGAGUCAUUCAAGGUUUCGCAAAGAUAAGUGAGUCUGAAGAACAAGUAUUUUACUAUAUUCAAGUUCCACAAUAUGGUGUAUCGAAAAAUAUGUACGAGUUGCUCUGACCGUUGCUCCAACAUAAACAUUCUUAUAUGUAUGUAGAAUGUAUAAAACAGUUGAAUGUAUUUCCACGCUUCUCUCUCUUCA
This is a non-coding RNA of Megalopta genalis, 779 nucleotides long. The record is from RefSeq and is a predicted model, not a curated record. Lineage: Eukaryota; Metazoa; Arthropoda; Insecta; Hymenoptera; Halictidae.